This 4232-nucleotide long non-coding RNA is filed under the name Delphinapterus leucas (beluga whale). RNAcentral's name for it is "lncRNA (ENSDLEG00000016167.1)". The record is from RNAcentral. Lineage: Eukaryota; Metazoa; Chordata; Mammalia; Artiodactyla; Monodontidae.
UGCGGCCGCCGUCGUCGGGCGAGGAGGCGGGCGCCUGGCCGGGGCCCAAGCCAAGACCCAGAUCCAGGAUGGGAUCUCCUGCUCCUGGUCCUCCCGCUCCUGCCCCCGGCGGGCUGCGCGGGACGUAGCGCGCUGGGUGGUCGCAGAAAGAAGCCCAGCCGUCGUGUGAGGCCCGCACGUGCACCGCCUUCUCAAAGGAGCGGUUCAGCACGCGGACCAACCCGCGCAGCACCGGCGGGCGCCCCCCAGGCACCCACACCCCGGCACCCCCGGGGACCGCUCCGGGAGGCGGCAGCAGUGCCUCCAGCUCCACCAUGACGCGCCCCAAGCGCUCCAGACGGCCCGGCGCGGGCGGCAGCGAAAAUGUGGGCACCAGGUAAAACCCCCCGCCAGCGGGAACGGGGCACAGCGGCGAGGGCUCGGGGCAAGCCUCCUCUUCCUCCUCCCCUUCAUCCCCAUCCUCGCCAUCGUCGUCCUCGUCAGCCCCGCCGCCGACGCCAUCUUGCCCGGCCGCCACCGCCAUCUUGCCCGCCCCGGGCCCGCCCCACGGCCGGUAGCGGCGCAGCUGCGCCAGCGGCAGCCCCAGGGCCUCGUCGGCGAACAGCACCCUCCGCGGGGCCACCGCUGCCUCGACUGAGGCCUGAAGCCAGUCUUGCAGACGGGUUGGAGUGGACAUUGGAUGACAGAACUCUGGGUUAUGCAGGGCACUGGAGAGCCAAGGGCAGGGAGUCUCAGCCACGGCCUGUCAGGAGAAGCCCCUGGGGGCUGGUCUCCCCUGUUGACCAUUGGUUGGAGGGGGUGCCUGUGGAGGUGAGGAAAUGCAGCGGCCAAGUCUUGGACAACCUGAAACCUUCAAGCCCCCAGAAGAAUCUCCAAAUCUCAGAACCUCCCUAUCAUUGCAGCCUAGAAUUUAAAACCUGAGACCGUUGUGCUCAAGGAAACCUGGCGGUUUCAAAGGCCAGCACCAAUGGAACGCAGGGCCCCUAUCCUCCGGCUCUGUGAUAUCGGGCAAGUUGCCCGACUACUUCGUGCCUCCGUUUUCCCCAUCUGUAUAACGGCCAUGAUGACAAGAUGGAAAUCCAAGGGCUGUGGUGAGGAUUGAACACGAUAAUUGUGAAAAGUGUUCGGCGCUGCGUCUGGCACAUGGAAAAUCUGAGAUAAUUGUCGGCUACGGGGAUGAUGGUGGAUAUUUAGAAUCCUAAAUCCUUGGAAACUGGGACUUUUCGAAGUAGAAAACCGCAAAGGCUGAGGGCCUCAGAAGCAUCAGGCCAUGGUGUCCCUGACCAUGAGAAGGCUGGGGUCCCAACGAGCCUCUCUAGGCUUUGUGAGGAUGGAUUCAUUAAUACUGGGGCCUGGUUGGGACCUUCCCCUCUGGGUCAGAGCUCUCAGGCCCUAAGAUGUAAUGAGGCAAGACUUUUCUCCCUUUCCUCACUCAGUGAUGUUCAGUGGAUUCUGGGAGCCAAUGAUUCUCAGACUCUUGGAUUCUGUGAAUUGUCGGGGGUAGGGAGGGACUCCCUGCUUUUUUCUCCAUGAAGUAACUUCCAUGCCUCUUACCCUCUGUGAGAAGAUGGGUUGCAAGAGUAUCCGGAGCUCCCCACCCCUGGGCAGUAAGACUGUGAUGACCGUAUCAAUUCCACUUAAGGGGAAACUGAGGCCUGGACCAGAGCAAGGCCUCUGGAAACGCAGCCCUAUUCCAUUUCUUUCCCUGGUGUUUCCCGUCCACAUGUAGCAUCUCAGUUCCUUUCUUCCUUUCCCCAGAGACCCUCAAAUAUCCCCUCACUCACAGAGUGGCAUCUCUCCCUGCCUGGGAUGUCCCUGUGAUUUGAGUUCUUUUCCCUUUUUUCUAACUCUACACACUUUUGUUUUAAAAACUGUAGUUUCUCAUGAGCCCUGUUAUCUCAUUGAUACCUCUCACCUCUGUAGUGAGGGGAAGAAAUCAUAUUUUCAGAUGACUCGUAAAGGGCAAAGAAAAAACCCAAAAUUUCAAAAUUUCCGUUUAAGUCUCAUAAUCAAGAAGAGGAGAAACAGAGCGAGCGAGUGAGAGAGAGAGCGAGAGAGAAAAAACUAUGAGAACCCCCCCCACCCCGUGAUUAUCAGCGUACACACUCAUCGAAAAAAAAAAUUGGAUUAUUAGAAGAGAGAGGUCUGUGGCUUCCACACCGUGGUUUUUCUUCUCGGUAUAAAAGCAAAGUUGUUUUUGAUAUGUGACAGUUUCCCACAAGCCAGGCUGAUCCUUUUCUGUCAGUCCACUUCACCAAGGUGAGUGUCCCCGCUCUCCCCCACCAGAUGCGGGUCCAGCGGAAGAGACGACAGUGAGGUAGGCACUGGGUUGGAGGGUAGUCAGGGGCCCUCGGGGACCAGCAAGACACACGCAGCAGCUCCUGUGGUCCUGGUCAGGUAAGGUAUUUUUUACAGUAAUAAUACUAAUAACAAACGCCAGAAGACUGAUAGAUCAAGUACUUAAUCAGUGCUGAGGCAGAGGCAAAGAUAAAUAAAUGGAUCGAUGUGUGGACGGGUAGGAUUUUUUAAAUAUAUCAGCUGCCAGUCUUUAUGAAUCUCAGAGCUUUGAACAACUUGAAACACUGUCCAGGUGUAACUGGAAAUUUCAGCGACGUCUCUGACAUACCUUUGGCUCUUCUCUCUCGAUAUCUCCCGUCCCUCUCUGUCUCACUCUUUUCGUGAUUCUCUGCCCCUCUCUUUCUGUUUCCCUGGCAUGCAGACUCUCCACCCCUCUGUCUUUCUCUGGCUCUGACCAUCUCCCCUGUCGCUGUCUCCUCCAACUUGACCACACUCCAUUUAUCUCCUUUCCUCCGUCUCUCCCACCACCUUUCCUGCUCAUUCGUCUUCCCUUCCCCCUGCCUGCCUCUCCCCCUCUACCCCCAGCCUCCAGCACAGAGCUUUGUACAGUUGGCGCUUAAUAACAGUGUGUUGAGUAAUGUCGAGGAGGACAUUUACAUUUUACAAGAAUGAGCAUCAAUUCUGUUUGCCCCGAUCGAAAGAGGAUUGUGGGCUGUCGGGUUGGGCUGAGCACUUAACUUGAACUUGCGCUUGCACCGCAUGAGGAGACCCUCCAGGGGGGCACUUCACGCAAUUGUCAACCAUGGUUUAGCUGUGGGGUUCUACCCUCAGGACCUGGUGUUGUGGGGGGAGGGCCAGGAUCCAUGUCCAGGAACAGAGCAGGCCAUUCAGGUCUGGGGUGACCUCGUCUCUGCAGGCUUAGCAAGUGCUCACUGCGUGUUAACUGUUAGUAUUUUUUAACCAAAUUAGAAUCAUGCUAUCUAGCUAUCUAUUGCUUUUGUUUCUGCUUUAUUCAAUGAAUAGGAGCAUUUUUGUAGGUCACUGAAAAAUGUUUCAACGUAUGAUCUUUCAUAACUGUUCAGACUGUCCUCACACUGGUAUGAACCACGACUGUUCGACCAAGUGCUGAUUUUUGGACAUUCGGGUUGUUUCUAGUUUUUUCGCAUAAUCAUCCCGGAUUAGUUCCUCGGAUUCCUACAAAUCGAGUGGCUAGGGCAAAGCGUUUGUGCAUUUUUAAGGUUUCUGACCCUCUCUGCAAAUUGUUCUUCCAAAAGGUUGUCCUGUUUUAUGUUCCCUCUACUCAAGCUAACCGUGGGUGGGUAUUAUCAUUUUUUAAUCCUUUCUCAACAUAACAGGUAAGAAAAAUAUUACCAUGUUGUUGAAAUUUGCAUCUUUCGAUAACUUAUACUGUUUGUUGACCAUAUGUGCUUUUUUUUUUUUUUCCAGUUGUCUGGUCAAGUCCUUAGUCCUAAUAGGGUGUUCAUCAUUUUUAUUUAUUGAUUUGUCACAGCUCUUUAUAUAAAAGGAUAUUAGCCUUCCAUCAGCCGUACAUAUAUAGCAAAUAUUUUCUCUCAAUUCAUCAUUUACUGAAGUUGUUUUGCUAUUUGUUCAUGCUGUUUUGUGAUGCUUAUGAUGUUUUUAUAUUGUCAACAAGGUUAGUCUUUUCUUCUGUGGUUACUGUCUCUGGUUUUGUGCUUAGAAAGUCCUUUCCCACUUGCAAAUGAGAUAAAUGUUCACCUGUAUUGGCUUUUAUUCUCUUUUAUGGCUUCAUUUUUUCCACUUACUGUAGAGGUUAAGAGUGUGGGUACUAGAGCAGACUGUCUGGGACAAACCCAGCCUCAGCUCAAGCAAUUCGUGUGAUUUUUAGCCAGGCAUUUAACUUCUCGAUACCUCCAUUUCCUCAUAGGUACUGUGAUGGUUAUAAUAGUACUGAC